CACGUAGGCGGCUUUUUAAGUCAGAGGUGAAAUCCCGGGGCUCAACCCCGGAACUGCCUUUGAAACUGGGAAGCUAGAAUCUUGGAGAGGCGAGUGGAAUUCCGAGUGUAGAGGUGAAAUUCGUAGAUAUUCGGAAGAACACCAGUGGCGAAGGCGAUUCGCUGGACAAGUAUUGACGCUGAGGUGCGAAGGCGUGGGGAGCAAACA
RNAcentral lists this ribosomal RNA (207 nucleotides) under uncultured bacterium. RNAcentral's name for it is "partial 16S ribosomal RNA". It matches the Rfam family "Bacterial small subunit ribosomal RNA", at positions 568 to 774 of the family's 1533-position model. The record is from RNAcentral.